Nerophis ophidion (straightnose pipefish) is the source of this 319-nucleotide long non-coding RNA. RefSeq lists it as uncharacterized. Lineage: Eukaryota; Metazoa; Chordata; Actinopteri; Syngnathiformes; Syngnathidae. The transcript has 3 exons. The record is from RefSeq and is a predicted model, not a curated record.
UUGAACUCACCGUGGUUUGUUUACAUUUAUAACUUUCUCCGGCUUUCUAGGACGUGAUUUAUGCCUCUUCUUUUUCUGUCUCAUUUUGUCCACCAAACUUAUAACGUUGUGCAUGAAUGCACAAAGACUGCCAAGCCUCUGGUGAUGCUCCCAUGCCAGCAAGACAUCUGAUUGGCUGACCAAUAUUUGCGCUCAGGCUGGAAGACGACACGCAGGAUCAAAAGCUCAACCUCUGUGACCUUUGACCCACCGCGGUCCCGGUCUGAUCUCGUGUGACAUCACGGAAGCCGCGUCCUCUUGCCGCAGCCGAGACGCACGU